AUGCCCAGAGGGCACUUCCUAAACAUCUCUUUGUUUCUCUCCCAAGCUUCAUAGAGGGACUCUCCUUCGUCCUGUCUGAAGGUCUAAAUGUCUGUUCUAAGCUU
Arachis duranensis is the source of this 104-nucleotide small nucleolar RNA. Lineage: Eukaryota; Viridiplantae; Streptophyta; Magnoliopsida; Fabales; Fabaceae. The record is from RefSeq and is a predicted model, not a curated record.